CGCAUCUGUGCAUGCAGCAUAUCAAUAAGCGGAGGAAAAGAAACUAACAAGGAUUCCCCUAGUAACGGCGAGUGAAGCGGGAAGAGCUCAAAUUUGAAAUCUUAAAGGGUUUCCCUUUACGAAUUGUAGUUUAAAGAAGUGUUUUCUGUUGAGGUUUUGGUAAAAGUUCUUUGGAAUAGGACAUCAUAGAGGGUGAGAAUCCCGUAUUUGACCUUUACUUUCAACUUUGUGAUACACUUUCAAAGAGUCGGAUUGUUUGGGAAUGCAGUCCAAAAUGGGUGGUAAAUUUCAUCUAAAGCUAAAUAUUGGCGAGAGACCGAUAGCGAACAAGUACCGUGAGGGAAAGAUGAAAAGAACUUUGAAAAGAGAGUUAAACAGUACGUGAAAUUGUCAAAAGGGAAGCGUUUGACACCAGUGUUGUUUUUCUGAAAAUCAAUUAAAGAACUGUUUAUGCUAAGCUGUUUAGACUUUAUCAGCUAACUGUUUAGUUUUGAGCUUUUCUUUAAUGCACUUUUCAGUUAACAAGUCAACAUCAAUUUCUUUUGCUGUAAAAAAGCUUGAGGAAGGUGGCUUGAGAUUCGUCUUAAGUGUUUAUAGCCUCUUGCCUAUGCAGUCGGAGAGAUUGAGGUCUGCAGCGUAGAUCCUUCGGGGCUAAAUGCAUUUGUGCUAAGUUAUAGCAUUUUAUAGACAACUUGUUGACUAUGAUUUGUCUUGUAGCUUACUCGCUUAUGUUAUUUUACCUACGCUUAGGAUGUUGACUGAUAUGUAGUCGUA
This 774-nucleotide ribosomal RNA is filed under the name uncultured Neocallimastigales. RNAcentral's name for it is "partial large subunit ribosomal RNA". It matches the Rfam family "Eukaryotic large subunit ribosomal RNA", at positions 26 to 644 of the family's 3401-position model. The record is from RNAcentral. Lineage: Eukaryota; Fungi; Neocallimastigomycota; Neocallimastigomycetes; Neocallimastigales.